AAGAAAUCGAGAAACCAGGAGAACGAGAAAGAAGAAGGCGGGAAUUUUCCUGUUCGCUUUACCCCUCACCCCCACAACCUCAUAUAUUCAUCCAACAUGAAGUCCGGAUCAGUAUUGUUCCUCACAUUGGCAACAGCGUGCUUGGUCUUACUAUUACAGAGCAGGAGUACGCAUGCGCGAGCCUUCGACAUGAAUAUGCUUGACGAGAGGGAAACGGCAGAGGGAGCUUUCCAAAAGAGGGACGCAGCACUCCGAAACACACUUAAAUCAUUAAUUAUGCGUAAAAACACAGACGAUAGGCUUUUUGAGCCAGCUGGUGUGGCACAAAAGCGAGGUGGAUCCAAGUCGAUUGAUUACGCCGAAGACAUGGUCAAAUUCGCCCUGUGGUGCAGACAGAUGAAUAUAGAAUGCUAGUACACCCGUCUUGCUUUCUCUUCAUCCCUUUCUUUUUACAUUGAUCUUCAAAUUUCUCACCUUACAACAACAACAACAGUACAGCCUGGCAUUUCAGUUUCAAGCAACAUGGGGAGGAACCAAGCCAUAUUGGACCAAAGGAUCUUUUCUUGAAUCGGCCACAACUUGCUUCAGGAAUCUCUUCACUUUUUCCCGUGUCAAAGAAAUAUUCGAAGGAAUUCUGCCACAAAAUCGUUUGCAUGAACGACCGGACAAUCAUGUUUUCAUUUCAUGUCGUGUUGAACGUGACUGUACAUUUAGCUUUUCUUAUUUUGUUUGGAAAUCAUUUGUUAUUUAGUUGUGAUGUUAUUACAGGAGUGUUAUGAGUUGGAUUUUGUUUCUCAUUGUAAUACUAGAAAGAUCAAUUUCAACCCCCUUGCUAGUAUUCUACAUGUAUAUAAAAGUAAAUAUGCUCCAUUGGCUAUACUAAGUUUUGUGAGGGCGCACUAGCAAAAGAGGGAAAAGUAUCCAGUCGGUCAUUCGUUUGUCAUUAAAGACCUCCUACCAGUGGUGGUACGCAAUACUUUUAGUAUUCCGAUGGCAUCAAAAUGUGCAAGGUAGCCGACGAUGAUAUUUUUUAAAUUUGAUUCUAUCUGAUAAAAUUCCAUCGUAUAUUCUUUUGAAAUAAUUAUUUUCAAAUAUUAAAAUAUUAUAGAUGUCAUCGAUGUUAUAUUCCUAGAGCAUAAUGGUAUGCAAAUUGUUAUUUAUGUUGCCCACAUCUGAUGAUUCAUGUAAGUAAUUCCUUUUACUGACAUUGUGUUUUGUGUGUUUUUUCGAAAACACUCAUUUGUUUUAAUGGCAAAUUAAGCCUUUAACAUUAGCUGAAGCGUCCUGAUUGGUUUUAUAAUAUCCCGAUGCAUUUCAAGUGACAGUCAUUUUGAAAUCGCAUGUAAGACAGGUCUCUUCGAUUCGGGAACACAUUUUUGCGAUGAUAAUUCGUUUAAUCUAGCUGGUAUAAACGAUUCAGGCAGGUCAAGGACAUGAUUUCAUACUGUCCACAAGUUGAGAGAGAUUGAAAAUACAUAAGUCCCUCUUCUUCAGUGAAUAGACAAAGAAUAUACUCCGUCAAGUCGUACUAUUUUGUCGGGGGGGGGGGGUAUUUCUGUCGUUGUUGUCCAAUCUGUGAUAUCUGCCUUGUAAAUAUUCCAAAAUAAAUUCGAUUGUGACAUAGACAGCGUAUGUCCAGACUUCUUGCCAAUGAAUUUAUUUUUUUUUCAAAUAACUGCCAAUUAUAGCUUUCCGAGUUUGAUUCAUGUGAUUUCGCAGGCUUGCAGUGCUAGAGUCGAGUAACAGGUUGAAUAUUUAUUAGAACAGAUUUCUGUACGCUUUGGUUCAUUCCCUCUUCGCCUUCUCCACUGUGUCAAAAGUGAUUAUUUUUUAAUUUGCUAUAUCAAGGUUAAACAAUGUAACCAUUUAGAGAAGGGUAAAAGGCUUUUUAUUUUUAAAAUCAAUACCGAUCAAUUUGAUAGGCAUAUCAAAAUCCUAUUCUCACAAAAGAACACGUUCUCUGUCAAAUAAAAUAUGGUAAUAAAUACAUACAUGUACAUAUAUAUGGUAUAGGUUUUACUUUAAGCCAGUGACAAAGGAUUUAUCACAAACACAUCUUUCUAUCAUCCUGUUUGGCAAUUAAAAUGUUUCUACUAUAUUGUUUGCUAAUUUUCGUUAAGUAUCGUAAUAAGUGUCUUGUAUAACCUCUCUCCAUUUCCAUGAGAGGAAAAAAGCCCUUAAAAAAACGUCGAAAUCGUGACAAGUGUUUGCUAGCAUCCUUCAUAACGCCCAUAAAGGACUUUGUUUGUCUAAUUAUCUACGUAAAUCAUUAAAACGGGUAAUUACAAAGACAAUUCUUAGUCGAAAAAUACAUAAAAUUUGUGUUUUGAAUCAAUUCGACUAAGAUCUAAACGAACUUGAAUAUCUUAUUGUUUUAUGAAAUUAAUCAGGUGCAAAGUGAUGUUUACAAAGCACAUGCCAUGUCGUUGGUCCAUUUGGCAAUCGUGUCUAGUAAAACUUGCUCAGUGGCUGUGGAGAAAGAAAUAGAUAUUGGUUGAAAAGAUAGAGGAGUGAGUACACAGAAAAGGAGAGAGAGCGGAGAGGGGGAGGGGAGGAGGAGGGAUGGAUGGAGAGAGAGAAGGCUCCUUUAAAUUAACCCUGAAAAGAUAAUUUUUAAAUUUGCUGUUACACUGUCCAUUAUCUACAAUAAUGACGGGCUAUAAUUUCCAAAAUGCUCCAAUUCAUGUUACGAAAGAAAAUUCGCGUUUUAAUAAAUACAUGUAUGUUUAAAUCUGAAUGAGUAUAGGAGACUAUGGAAAUGGAUUAUGGGAAGGGUGGUAUUUUUAUUAUUCGUCUCAAAACUUUAUUCAGUGUUUGCUGUUUUUUGUUAUUAACGAUAAAAAAGUGUUUUUGUAUUGAUGUCAUAAUUACAUUUUCUCAAAAGGCGCAUGCAUUGCCUUUGGAAAAAUGUUUCCAAUAGUUUGAAGUAGUAUUGCGCUUAACAAUCGAGUGUUUAAGUCAUCAUUUAUGUCGCAAGAGGGGCUAUUUGGUCUGGAAAAGCAUUUACAUUUGGUUGAAAUUGCAUCUGACGGCAGUUAUUCAUGUUGUACAGAUGAGAUGCCAUUCCAAGCAAAGAUAAAACACCUAUUACGAUUGGCGAUGCUUUAUUAAAUCUCUAAGUAUUAAGUCACUGAUAACCUGUAUGAACUGAAAUUAUCUUAUUCAAAUUUCUUAAGUUGUCUCUUUUUUAAAAUGUCCAAUCCAACUAAUAACACCAAUGUAAUGUAGUUGAUGAUAUAAAUGCUGCUACGUAUUUGCAUGGGGGUAAUAUCUACAUUUUGUCUUUAUUUAGAUUGCUAUUAUCUCUUAGAUUCUCGUAUCUAAAAGUGCAUAGAGAUCCAGAUGUUAUGUAAUCCUUAAAGGAAAUGGAUAUUAUUAGCAUUAUCAUUAUGAAUUACAGAGUGUGUCAGAGGACAUAUCCUAUCACGUUGAAGCUGUCUUGUAUGAAUGUGUAAUCAUUAAUUUAUUCAUAUAUCUUGGUAGAGCGAUCCUCUCUGCAUAUUUGGGUAUUAUUUUCAUACGGAUGUUUACAUGCAUGACGGACUCAGUUGAGCCUAUGGGUGAAGAAAAAAAACAAAGAAAAGAAGUUAUAACUUGUGUGCACGCAGAGACACCUACCCGUCCUUACUCACAAACACACACACAUAACACACCACCUCUCACACAUACCUCCAUCCCUCCUACACACACGUUUGCUUCCGAAACACUUCACACAGCAGUCUUAUCUUAUCUCAUUGGUUAUGUCUUUCGGUGGUCGACAGUGGACAAAUGUCUUAUUGUUAUAACUGCCUUCAAAAUGGAUUGCCUGAUUUGGCAUCAGUGAAAUGGCCAGUUCAGACACCUAUGGUGGGCACGCAGCGCACAGGCGAAGGAUCGUUUCUGACUGCCUGCAACACCUCUUUGGCAACAAAGUUACUAUGCUGAAUGCUACAAGUCGACGUGCCCCCGAGAUUCUCACGGGUGCGUGUUUUUGGGUGUGUGUGCAUUUCUGCGUGCACAUAAGUUACUAGUCAUUUCAAAAUUCGCUUUAUACCUCAUCCAGCAAGUAGACGCAACUGUGGUUUUUUGUCUGGUAGUCAGUCAUGCAUUAAAAGAUGCAUAUGAAAAUGGUACCAAAGAAGCGGGGAGAAUAACUGUAUCAGGAUAUGUCAGUAAGUCAACGAUUAAAUGAGCUUAAUCUAGACAAGACAACUUCAAGCUUGUGGGACGUUUUCAUGACUCUCUCUUUAUGUAAGCCAUAUUUUUGUUUUCCCGCAUUAAAACCCUAGAAUAAGAUGUCCAUAUGAUUCCUCAGUUCUAACAGAGAAGGUGAACUCAGACGAAGACAACAAAUAAUCUUAGGUUUAUGUAUCACAUGGUUUGACCCGGUGUUUUGUUUUAACGUGCGACCUUAUAAAAUUAUUUCAUGUAUAGCUUGGGGCAUGGUGAUAUUAUGAUUUGUUUGUUAUUGAUAAAGUUUGUGGAGUGAAAAUUGGGAAUCAUGCAAAUAAAAUUUUAUCUU
Lytechinus variegatus (green sea urchin) is the source of this 4501-nucleotide long non-coding RNA. RefSeq lists it as uncharacterized. The record is from RefSeq and is a predicted model, not a curated record. Lineage: Eukaryota; Metazoa; Echinodermata; Echinoidea; Temnopleuroida; Toxopneustidae. The transcript is spliced from 3 exons.